AUUGAACGCUGGCGGCAGGCCUAACACAUGCAAGUCGAGCGGAUGAGGGGAGCUUGCUCCUGGAUUCAGCGGCGGGCGGGUGAGUAAUGCCUAGGAAUCUGCCUGGUAGUGGGGGAUAACGUCCGGAAACGGGCGCUAAUACCGCAUACGUCCUGAGGGAGAAAGUGGGGGAUCUUCGGACCUCACGCUAUCAGAUGAGCCUAGGUCGGAUUAGCUAGUUGGUGGGGUAAAGGCCUACCAAGGCGACGAUCCGUAACUGGUCUGAGAGGAUGAUCAGUCACACUGGAACUGAGACACGGUCCAGACUCCUACGGGAGGCAGCAGUGGGGAAUAUUGGACAAUGGGCGAAAGCCUGAUCCAGCCAUGCCGCGUGUGUGAAGAAGGUCUUCGGAUUGUAAAGCACUUUAAGUUGGGAGGAAGGGCAGUAAGUUAAUACCUUGCUGUUUUGACGUUACCAACAGAAUAAGCACCGGCUAACUUCGUG
This 484-nucleotide ribosomal RNA is filed under the name uncultured bacterium. RNAcentral's name for it is "partial 16S ribosomal RNA". It matches the Rfam family "Bacterial small subunit ribosomal RNA", at positions 30 to 507 of the family's 1533-position model. The record is from RNAcentral.